AUUGAACGCUGGCGGCAGGCCUAACACAUGCAAGUCGAGCGGUAGCACAGAGAGCUUGCUCUCGGGUGACGAGCGGCGGACGGGUGAGUAAUGUCUGGGAAACUGCCUGAUGGAGGGGGAUAACUACUGGAAACGGUAGCUAAUACCGCAUAACGUCGCAAGACCAAAGUGGGGGACCUUCGGGCCUCAUGCCAUCAGAUGUGCCCAGAUGGGAUUAGCUAGUAGGUGGGGUAAUGGCUCACCUAGGCGACGAUCCCUAGCUGGUCUGAGAGGAUGACCAGCCACACUGGAACUGAGACACGGUCCAGACUCCUACGGGAGGCAGCAGUGGGGAAUAUUGCACAAUGGGCGCAAGCCUGAUGCAGCCAUGCCGCGUGUGUGAAGAAGGCCUUCGGGUUGUAAAGCACUUUCAGCGGGGAGGAAGGCGUUAAGGUUAAUAACCUUGGCGAUUGACGUUACCCGCAGAAGAAGCACCGGCUAACUCCGUGCCAGCAGCCGCGGUAAUACGGAGGGUGCAAGCGUUAAUCGGAAUUACUGGGCGUAAAGCGCACGCAGGCGGUCUGUCAAGUCGGAUGUGAAAUCCCCGGGCUCAACCUGGGAACUGCAUUCGAAACUGGCAGGCUAGAGUCUUGUAGAGGGGGGUAGAAUUCCAGGUGUAGCGGUGAAAUGCGUAGAGAUCUGGAGGAAUACCGGUGGCGAAGGCGGCCCCCUGGACAAAGACUGACGCUCAGGUGCGAAAGCGUGGGGAGCAAACAGGAUUAGAUACCCUGGUAGUCCACGCCGUAAACGAUGUCGAUUUGGAGGUUGUGCCCUUGAGGCGUGGCUUCCGGAGCUAACGCGUUAAAUCGACCGCCUGGGGAGUACGGCCGCAAGGUUAAAACUCAAAUGAAUUGACGGGGGCCCGCACAAGCGGUGGAGCAUGUGGUUUAAUUCGAUGCAACGCGAAGAACCUUACCUGGUCUUGACAUCCACAGAACUUUCCAGAGAUGGAUUGGUGCCUUCGGGAACUGUGAGACAGGUGCUGCAUGGCUGUCGUCAGCUCGUGUUGUGAAAUGUUGGGUUAAGUCCCGCAACGAGCGCAACCCUUAUCCUUUGUUGCCAGCGGUUAGGCCGGGAACUCAAAGGAGACUGCCAGUGAUAAACUGGAGGAAGGUGGGGAUGACGUCAAGUCAUCAUGGCCCUUACGACCAGGGCUACACACGUGCUACAAUGGCAUAUACAAAGAGAAGCGACCUCGCGAGAGCAAGCGGACCUCAUAAAGUAUGUCGUAGUCCGGAUUGGAGUCUGCAACUCGACUCCAUGAAGUCGGAAUCGCUAGUAAUCGUAGAUCAGAAUGCUACGGUGAAUACGUUCCCGGGCCUUGUACACACCGCCCGUCACACCAUGGGGGUGGGUUGCAAAAGAAGUAGGUAGCUUAACCUUCGGGAGGGCGCUUACCACUUUGUGAUUCAUGACUGGGGUGA
RNAcentral lists this ribosomal RNA (1463 nucleotides) under uncultured Klebsiella sp. Its description in RNAcentral is "bacterial SSU rRNA". It matches the Rfam family "Bacterial small subunit ribosomal RNA". Lineage: Bacteria; Pseudomonadati; Pseudomonadota; Gammaproteobacteria; Enterobacterales; Enterobacteriaceae. The record is from RNAcentral.